Molecule: long non-coding RNA, 1211 nt
Organism: Gallus gallus (chicken)
Lineage: Eukaryota; Metazoa; Chordata; Aves; Galliformes; Phasianidae
Exons: 2
Source: RefSeq, a predicted model, not a curated record
AGCGCUCCCCGGGGCCGUCUGUCACCGCCCGCCGGUGCCCCCCCCGCAGCCAUCCGAACCCUCCCGAUCCAAUUACAGCGCCGCCAACUUCCGCGCGGGGCCGCUCCGCCGUCAUCGCUCCGUUCUUAAUUGCAUUGUCCCUCCCCUCCCCCAGCGCUGCGGCAGAGGGGGAGGGGGGAAAAAAUGAGAUUUAGCCCUGAAAGUGCCUUUGAGCGCUCCCCCGCGGGGAAUCGCCUUUAAUUUGACAGCUCACAGCGGCCGCUCCCCGACCCGCGGUUCCCGCAGCCGUGACCCCGCAGGGCGGUGCGGAGCCCCCGGAGCGCUCCGGCCGCGGCCGUCCGUUCCACGACGGGUGAGCAAAGCGGAAGGGCCGCCCCCCCACCCCCCCGCCCCGCAGCCGACGGCUCACGUCGGCCCCACGAGCGCCCGACUGUCGCGCAGCCGCAGCGAGGAUGCGGAGCGGAUAACGCGGGGGGGGGGGGGGGGGUGGGGGGGAAGGGGGGUGGUUUGGCCGUCCCCGCAGCCCCCCGGCCCUCGGGGCCCCCCGCCCCUCCCCCGGCAGGAGGCCGCUCUGGGUGACGCACAGCUCAUUCCGUGGGUCUUCUCUCCAUCCCCACAGCAGGAACCGGGCCCGGCCCCGCAGCUCCUCCAUCCCCCUCUCGAUGCCCCCGCCGCGGCCCCCAGCCCACCCCAGCCCACCCCAGCCCUCUCGGCCCCCAACCCCGUCCCGGGGUGCAGCUGAUCGGGGUAGGAGCGGCUGCGGGGCCGGGCGGUGUGCAGACCCCCAUCACCCCAGGCACGGUGCUUCCCAGCGCCGCACAGAGGGGCUCAGCCCGGGGACGGCCGCGGGUGUGGGAUCCCGCAUCGGGCACAGAGCCCCGCGCUGCGGCCACGGGUGUCCCCCAAUCACCGGCACGGGGCCACGCUCAGCCCCACGUGCACCCACGCACAGCGCGUCCACCCCGAUAGCCUCGGGGCAGCUGCUGUGCCAUGCCGUGCCGUGCCGUGCCACGCCGUGCUCUGCCAUGCCGUGCCGUGCCGUGCCGUGCCGUGCCACGCUGCUGGCCGGGGGACCCGUCAGCCUCACCCCGCGCCUCCCUUCUCCCCAUCUCAUCUCUUUCCUCUUCCAAUUUUCCGGAUGAUUAACUCCACCGCUGUUUCCUGACAACCUCUGCUGUUGGUAUUAAUUUCUUUUAACUAGUGAUUAAUUA